Molecule: ribosomal RNA, 1352 nt
Filed under: uncultured bacterium
Lineage: Bacteria
Description: bacterial SSU rRNA
Rfam family: Bacterial small subunit ribosomal RNA
Source: RNAcentral
GAUGAACGCUGGCGGCGUGCCUAAUACAUGCAAGUCGAACGCUUCACAUCGGUGAAGAGUGGCGAACGGGUGAGUAAUACAUAAGUAACCUGGCAUCUACAGGGGGAUAACUGAUGGAAACGUCAGCUAAGACCGCAUAGGUGUAGAGAUCGCAUGAACUCUAUAUGAAAAGUGCUACGGGACUGGUAGAUGAUGGACUUAUGGCGCAUUAGCUUGUUGGUAGGGUAACGGCCUACCAAGGCGACGAUGCGUAGCCGACCUGAGAGGGUGACCGGCCACACUGGGACUGAGACACGGCCCAGACUCCUACGGGAGGCAGCAGUAGGGAAUUUUCGGCAAUGGGGGAAACCCUGACCGAGCAACGCCGCGUGAAGGAAGAAGUAAUUCGUUAUGUAAACUUCUGUCAUAGAGGAAGAACGGUGGAUAUAGGGAAUGAUAUCCAAGUGACGGUACUCUAUAAGAAAGCCACGGCUAACUACGUGCCAGCAGCCGCGGUAAUACGUAGGUGGCGAGCGUUAUCCGGAAUUAUUGGGCGUAAAGAGGGAGCAGGCGGCACUAAGGGUCUGUGGUGAAAGAUCGAAGCUUAACUUCGGUAAGCCAUGGAAACCGUAGAGCUAGAGUGUGUGAGAGGAUCGUGGAAUUCCAUGUGUAGCGGUGAAAUGCGUAGAUAUAUGGAGGAACACCAGUGGCGAAGGCGACGAUCUGGCGCAUAACUGACGCUCAGUCCCGAAAGCGUGGGGAGCAAAUAGGAUUAGAUACCCUAGUAGUCCACGCCGUAAACGAUGAGUACUAAGUGUUGGGUGUCAAAGCUCAGUGCUGCAGUUAACGCAAUAAGUACUCCGCCUGAGUAGUACGUUCGCAAGAAUGAAACUCAAAGGAAUUGACGGGGGCCCGCACAAGCGGUGGAGCAUGUGGUUUAAUUCGAAGCAACGCGAAGAACCUUACCAGGUCUUGACAUCGAUCUAAAGGCUCCAGAGAUGGAGAGAUAGCUAUAGAGAAGACAGGUGGUGCAUGGUUGUCGUCAGCUCGUGUCGUGAGAUGUUGGGUUAAGUCCCGCAACGAGCGCAACCCCCGUUGCCAGUUGCCAGCAUUAAGUUGGGGACUCUGGCGAGACUGCCUGUGACAAGCCGGAGGAAGGCGGGGAUGACGUCAAAUCAUCAUGCCCCCUAUGACCUGGGCUACACACGUGCUACAAUGGACAGAGCAGAGGGAAGCGAAGCCGCGAGGUGGAGCGAAACCCAUAAAACUGUUCUCAGUUCGGACUGCAGUCUGCAACUCGACUGCACGAAGAUGGAAUCGCUAGUAAUCGCGAAUCAGCAUGUCGCGGUGAAUAAGUUCUCGGGCCUUGCACA